RNAcentral lists this ribosomal RNA (734 nucleotides) under uncultured beta proteobacterium. Its description in RNAcentral is "bacterial SSU rRNA". It matches the Rfam family "Bacterial small subunit ribosomal RNA", at positions 60 to 789 of the family's 1533-position model. Lineage: Bacteria; Pseudomonadati; Pseudomonadota; Betaproteobacteria. The record is from RNAcentral.
AGUCGAACGGCAGCACGGGAGCAAUCCUGGUGGCGAGUGGCGAACGGGUGAGUAAUACAUCGGAACGUGUCCUGGAGUGGGGGAUAGCCCGGCGAAAGCCGGAUUAAUACCGCAUACGCUCUAUGGAGGAAAGCGGGGGAUCGCAAGACCUCGCGCUCAAGGGGCGGCCGAUGGCAGAUUAGGUAGUUGGUGGGGUAAAGGCCUACCAAGCCGACGAUCUGUAGCUGGUCUGAGAGGACGACCAGCCACACUGGGACUGAGACACGGCCCAGACUCCUACGGGAGGCAGCAGUGGGGAAUUUUGGACAAUGGGCGCAAGCCUGAUCCAGCAAUGCCGCGUGUGUGAAGAAGGCCUUCGGGUUGUAAAGCACUUUUGUCCGGGAAGAAAUCCCUGGUCCUAAUAUGGCCGGGGGAUGACGGUACUGGAAGAAUAAGCACCGGCUAACUACGUGCCAGCAGCCGCGGUAAUACGUAGGGUGCGAGCGUUAAUCGGAAUUACUGGGCGUAAAGCGUGCGCAGGCGGUGAUGUAAGACCGAUGUGAAAUCCCCGGGCUUAACCUGGGAACUGCAUUGGUGACUGCAUCGCUCGAGUAUGGCAGAGGGGGGUAGAAUUCCACGUGUAGCAGUGAAAUGCGUAGAGAUGUGGAGGAAUACCGAUGGCGAAGGCAGCCCCCUGGGUCAAUACUGACGCUCAUGCACGAAAGCGUGGGGAGCAAACAGGAUUAGAUACCCUG